ACAGAGGGUGCGAGCGUUAAUCGGAAUUACUGGGCGUAAAGCGCGCGUAGGCGGCUUGUUAAGUCGGAUGUGAAAUCCCCGGGCUCAACCUGGGCACUGCAUUCGAUACUGGCAAGCUAGAGUAUGGGAGAGGAAGGUAGAAUUCCAGGUGUAGCGGUGAAAUGCGUAGAGAUCUGGAGGAAUACCGAUGGCGAAGGCAGCCUUCUGGCCUAAUACUGACGCUGAGGUGCGAAAGCAUGGGGAGCAAACAGG
This 252-nucleotide ribosomal RNA is filed under the name uncultured bacterium. Its description in RNAcentral is "partial 16S ribosomal RNA". It matches the Rfam family "Bacterial small subunit ribosomal RNA", at positions 525 to 776 of the family's 1533-position model. The record is from RNAcentral.